Molecule: ribosomal RNA, 445 nt
Filed under: uncultured bacterium
Lineage: Bacteria
Description: bacterial SSU rRNA
Rfam family: Bacterial small subunit ribosomal RNA
Source: RNAcentral
ACUCCUACGGGAGGCAGCAGUGGGGAAUCUUGCACAAUGGGCGAAAGCCUGAUGCAGCAACGCCGCGUGCGGGAUGAAGGCCCUAGGGUUGUAAACCGCUUUCAGCAGGGAAGAAAAUGACGGUACCUGCAGAAGAAGGUGCGGCCAACUACGUGCCAGCAGCCGCGGUGACACGUAGGCACCAAGCGUUGUCCGGAUUUAUUGGGCGUAAAGAGCUCGUAGGCGGUUCGGUAAGUCGGGUGUGAAAACUCUGGGCUCAACCCAGAGACGCCACUCGAUACUGCUGUGACUAGAGUGCGGUAGGGGAGCGGGGAAUUCCUGGUGUAGCGGUGAAAUGCGCAGAUAUCAGGAGGAACACCAGUGGCGAAGGCGCCGCUCUGGGCCGUAACUGACGCUGAGGAGCGAAAGCAUGGGUAGCAAACAGGAUUAGAAACCCCAGUAGUCC